AGUGAACGCUGGCGGUAGGCCUAACACAUGCAAGUCGAACGGCAGCACAGUAAGAGCUUGCUCUUACGGGUGGCGAGUGGCGGACGGGUGAGGAAUACAUCGGAAUCUACUUUUUCGUGGGGGAUAACGUAGGGAAACUUACGCUAAUACCGCAUACGACCUACGGGUGAAAGCAGGGGAUCUUCGGACCUUGCGCGAUUGAAUGAGCCGAUGUCGGAUUAGCUAGUUGGCGGGGUAAAGGCCAACCAAGGCGACGAUCCGUAGCGGGUCUGAGAGAAUGAUCAGCCACACUGGAACUGGGACACGGUCCAGACUCCUACGGGAGGCAGCAGUGGGGAAUAUUGGACAAUGGGCGCAAGCCUGAUCCAGCCAUACCGCGUGGGUGAAGAAGGCCUUCGGGUUGUAAAGCCCUUUUGUUGGGAAAGAAAAGCAGCAGGUUAAUACCCCGCUGUUCUGACGGUACCCAAAGAAUAAGCACCGGCUAACUUCGUG
Molecule: ribosomal RNA, 492 nt
Filed under: uncultured bacterium
Lineage: Bacteria
Description: partial 16S ribosomal RNA
Rfam family: Bacterial small subunit ribosomal RNA
Source: RNAcentral